This is a long non-coding RNA of Oryza sativa Japonica Group (Japanese rice), 285 nucleotides long. RefSeq lists it as uncharacterized. The record is from RefSeq and is a predicted model, not a curated record. NCBI's taxonomy places the organism in Eukaryota, Viridiplantae, Streptophyta, Magnoliopsida, Poales, Poaceae.
AAAAAAAAGAAAAAAAGAGAAAAGGGGAAGAGAUCGAUAACCCUGCAGCCGCUACAAACCCUAGUCGCCAUCACCCCAAUGGCUGCUGCGCCGUCGCCGCAGGUUCAGCCAUCGCCGUCCAGCGCCACUCCUGCUCGACUCCUUGAGAGCAGGAGUUUCAAGAAGCAGGGAAAGCAGGAGAAAAGAAGGAAAAAGGAAAGAGAGGCAAAAGUUGGGGAUUUUCUGGGUGUGGAGGGUUCCAAUGUUGGAGGAGUUGAGUCGGAUUAUUGAAGGAGUUAAGGCAAG